This 245-nucleotide ribosomal RNA is filed under the name uncultured bacterium. RNAcentral describes it as "partial 16S ribosomal RNA". It matches the Rfam family "Bacterial small subunit ribosomal RNA", at positions 524 to 768 of the family's 1533-position model. The record is from RNAcentral.
GACGUAGGAUGCAAGCGUUGUCCGGAUUUAUUGGGCGUAAAGAGAGCGUAGGCGGUUACUUAAGUCUGAAGUUAAAGACUGGGGCUCAACCCCAGGAGUGCUUCGGAAACUGGGUGACUUGAGGACGGAAGAGGGCAGUGGAAUUCCCAGUGUAGCGGUGAAAUGCGUAGAUAUUGGGAGGAACACCAGUGGCGAAAGCGACUGCCUGGUCCGUUUCUGACGCUGAGGCUCGAAAGCCAGGGGAG